This 253-nucleotide ribosomal RNA is filed under the name uncultured bacterium. RNAcentral describes it as "partial 16S ribosomal RNA". It matches the Rfam family "Bacterial small subunit ribosomal RNA", at positions 524 to 776 of the family's 1533-position model. The record is from RNAcentral.
UACGAAGGGGGCUAGCGUUGCUCGGAAUGACUGGGCGUAAAGGGCGCGUAGGCGGAGUGCUUUGUCGGGCGUGAAAUUCCAGGGCUCAACCUUGGGGCUGCGUUCGAGACGGGCAUUCUAGAGUUCGGAAGAGGGUCGUGGAAUUCCCAGUGUAGAGGUGAAAUUCGUAGAUAUUGGGAAGAACACCGGUGGCGAAGGCGGCGACCUGGUCCUUGACUGACGCUGAGGCGCGAAAGCGUGGGGAGCAAACAGG